Molecule: transfer RNA, 68 nt
Filed under: Cavia porcellus (domestic guinea pig)
Lineage: Eukaryota; Metazoa; Chordata; Mammalia; Rodentia; Caviidae
Rfam family: tRNA
About the family: Transfer RNA (tRNA) molecules are approximately 80 nucleotides in length. Their secondary structure includes four short double-helical elements and three loops (D, anti-codon, and T loops).
Source: Rfam by way of RNAcentral
GAGUAUAUGGCUCAUUAUAGAGCAUGUGCCUACCAUGCACAAGGUCCUGGGUUCAAUUCUCAGCAUCA